Molecule: transfer RNA, 72 nt
Filed under: Bos taurus (domestic cattle)
Lineage: Eukaryota; Metazoa; Chordata; Mammalia; Artiodactyla; Bovidae
Also listed under: 4 other names
Rfam family: tRNA
About the family: Transfer RNA (tRNA) molecules are approximately 80 nucleotides in length. Their secondary structure includes four short double-helical elements and three loops (D, anti-codon, and T loops).
Source: Rfam by way of RNAcentral
UCCCUUCUGGCUCAGCUGGUAAAGAAUCUGCUUGCAACGCAGGAGACCUGAGUUCGAUCCCUGGGUUGGGAA